Long non-coding RNA from Etheostoma cragini (Arkansas darter), 457 nucleotides. RefSeq lists it as uncharacterized. The transcript has 5 exons. The record is from RefSeq and is a predicted model, not a curated record. Lineage: Eukaryota; Metazoa; Chordata; Actinopteri; Perciformes; Percidae.
CCUCCUGAUGGACGACACUGCCAGCCUGCUGAUCAAUACAACUUCACAGCUUGUCCUAGGACAACAACCUCUCCCCCACCUACAACUCCUCCAGUUUUUUAUGAAUACAUAAUUUCUGUUGAGUUAAACACCACUAAUGUUACGCUAAUAAAUCAACUGAGGACCGUUCUGAGAAGCAUCCGUUACCCCUUCAGCAUCAACAACCACAUACAAAUCUCUGAGGCCAACAUUUCUACAGUGUGCUCUCCUAGCAGUGGUGGUUACCAGUGUUUAUGUGAGGAUCAGUAUCGUUGGUCAUGUGACCAGUGUUUCCUGUAUGGAUCCUGUGACAACAUCACUGAUGACACCUGUGGAUGUAUCAAUGCCCUUCCUCCUGAUGGACGACACUGCCAGCCUGCUGAUCAAUACAACUUCACAGCUUGUCCUAGGACAACAACCUCUCCCCCACCUACAAGUA